This is a non-coding RNA of Podarcis lilfordi (Lilford's wall lizard), 77 nucleotides long. The record is from the annotation of a GenBank genome assembly. Lineage: Eukaryota; Metazoa; Chordata; Lepidosauria; Squamata; Lacertidae.
GGAGAAAGGCUGUAGCUCAGUGGCAUAGCAUCUGCUUCACAUGCAGAACGUCCCAGGUUCAGUUCCCCGCCUCCCCA